RNAcentral lists this ribosomal RNA (1528 nucleotides) under Escherichia coli 2-210-07_S1_C3. RNAcentral describes it as "bacterial SSU rRNA". It matches the Rfam family "Bacterial small subunit ribosomal RNA". RNAcentral also lists the same sequence under 2 other names. The record is from RNAcentral. Lineage: Bacteria; Pseudomonadati; Pseudomonadota; Gammaproteobacteria; Enterobacterales; Enterobacteriaceae.
GAGUUUGAUCAUGGCUCAGAUUGAACGCUGGCGGCAGGCCUAACACAUGCAAGUCGAACGGUAACAGGAAACAGCUUGCUGUUUCGCUGACGAGUGGCGGACGGGUGAGUAAUGUCUGGGAAACUGCCUGAUGGAGGGGGAUAACUACUGGAAACGGUAGCUAAUACCGCAUAACGUCGCAAGACCAAAGAGGGGGACCUUCGGGCCUCUUGCCAUCGGAUGUGCCCAGAUGGGAUUAGCUAGUAGGUGGGGUAACGGCUCACCAAGGCGACGAUCCCUAGCUGGUCUGAGAGGAUGACCAGCCACACUGGAACUGAGACACGGUCCAGACUCCUACGGGAGGCAGCAGUGGGGAAUAUUGCACAAUGGGCGCAAGCCUGAUGCAGCCAUGCCGCGUGUAUGAAGAAGGCCUUCGGGUUGUAAAGUACUUUCAGCGGGGAGGAAGGGAGUAAAGUUAAUACCUUUGCUCAUUGACGUUACCCGCAGAAGAAGCACCGGCUAACUCCGUGCCAGCAGCCGCGGUAAUACGGAGGGUGCAAGCGUUAAUCGGAAUUACUGGGCGUAAAGCGCACGCAGGCGGUUUGUUAAGUCAGAUGUGAAAUCCCCGGGCUCAACCUGGGAACUGCAUCUGAUACUGGCAAGCUUGAGUCUCGUAGAGGGGGGUAGAAUUCCAGGUGUAGCGGUGAAAUGCGUAGAGAUCUGGAGGAAUACCGGUGGCGAAGGCGGCCCCCUGGACGAAGACUGACGCUCAGGUGCGAAAGCGUGGGGAGCAAACAGGAUUAGAUACCCUGGUAGUCCACGCCGUAAACGAUGUCGACUUGGAGGUUGUGCCCUUGAGGCGUGGCUUCCGGAGCUAACGCGUUAAGUCGACCGCCUGGGGAGUACGGCCGCAAGGUUAAAACUCAAAUGAAUUGACGGGGGCCCGCACAAGCGGUGGAGCAUGUGGUUUAAUUCGAUGCAACGCGAAGAACCUUACCUGGUCUUGACAUCCACGGAAGUUUUCAGAGAUGAGAAUGUGCCUUCGGGAACCGUGAGACAGGUGCUGCAUGGCUGUCGUCAGCUCGUGUUGUGAAAUGUUGGGUUAAGUCCCGCAACGAGCGCAACCCUUAUCCUUUGUUGCCAGCGGUCCGGCCGGGAACUCAAAGGAGACUGCCAGUGAUAAACUGGAGGAAGGUGGGGAUGACGUCAAGUCAUCAUGGCCCUUACGACCAGGGCUACACACGUGCUACAAUGGCGCAUACAAAGAGAAGCGACCUCGCGAGAGCAAGCGGACCUCAUAAAGUGCGUCGUAGUCCGGAUUGGAGUCUGCAACUCGACUCCAUGAAGUCGGAAUCGCUAGUAAUCGUGGAUCAGAAUGCCACGGUGAAUACGUUCCCGGGCCUUGUACACACCGCCCGUCACACCAUGGGAGUGGGUUGCAAAAGAAGUAGGUAGCUUAACCUUCGGGAGGGCGCUUACCACUUUGUGAUUCAUGACUGGGGUGAAGUCGUAACAAGGUAACCGUAGGGGAACCUGCGGUUGGAUCACC